Molecule: ribosomal RNA, 509 nt
Filed under: Hansenula anomala
Lineage: Eukaryota; Fungi; Ascomycota; Saccharomycetes; Phaffomycetales; Wickerhamomycetaceae
Description: eukaryotic LSU rRNA
Rfam family: Eukaryotic large subunit ribosomal RNA
Source: RNAcentral
AUAUCAAUAAGCGGAGGAAAAGAAACCAACAGGGAUUGCCUCAGUAACGGCGAGUGAAGCGGCAAAAGCUCAAAUUUGAAAUCUAGCACCUUCGGUGUUCGAGUUGUAAUUUGAAGAUGGUAACCUUGGGUUUGGCUCUUGUCUAUGUUCCUUGGAACAGGACGUCAUAGAGGGUGAGAAUCCCGUCUGAUGAGAUGCCCAUUCCUAUGUAAGGUGCUAUCGAAGAGUCGAGUUGUUUGGGAAUGCAGCUCUAAGUGGGUGGUAAAUUCCAUCUAAAGCUAAAUAUUGGCGAGAGACCGAUAGCGAACAAGUACAGUGAUGGAAAGAUGAAAAGAACUUUGAAAAGAGAGUGAAAAAGUACGUGAAAUUGUUGAAAGGGAAGGGCAUUAGAUCAGACUUGGUGUUUUACGAUUAUCUUCUCUUCUUGAGUUGUGCACUCGUAUUUCACUGGGCCAGCAUCGAUUCGGAUGGCAAGAUAAUGGCAGUUGAAUGUGGCUUCACUUCGGUGG